This 406-nucleotide ribosomal RNA is filed under the name uncultured bacterium. RNAcentral describes it as "partial 16S ribosomal RNA". It matches the Rfam family "Bacterial small subunit ribosomal RNA", at positions 30 to 526 of the family's 1533-position model. The record is from RNAcentral.
AUUGAACGCUGGCGGCAGGCCUAACACAUGCAAGUCGAACGAGUGGCGGACGGGUGAGUAAUGUCUGGGAAACUGCACGAUGGAGGGGGAUAACUACUGGAAACGGUAGCUAAUACCGCAUACCAUCGGAUGUGCCCAGAUGGGUUGAGCUAGUAGGUGGGGUAACGGCUCACAUAGGCGACGAUCCCUAGCUGGUCGGAGAGUAUGACCAGCCACACUGGAACGGAGACACGGUCCAGACUCCUACGGGAGGCAGCAGUGGGGAAUAUUGCACAAUGGGCGCAAGCCUGAUGCAGCCAUGCCGCGUGUAUUAAGAAGGCCUUCGGGUUGUAAAGUACUUUCAGCGAGGAGGCGUUACUCGCAGAAGAAGCACCGGCUAACUCCGUGCCAGCCGCCGCGGUAAUAC